This is an RNA transcript of Panicum virgatum (switchgrass), 1820 nucleotides long. It is a transcript of the gene named protein root UVB sensitive 3-like, with no coding region annotated. Lineage: Eukaryota; Viridiplantae; Streptophyta; Magnoliopsida; Poales; Poaceae. The record is from RefSeq and is a predicted model, not a curated record. The transcript is spliced from 15 exons.
CUCCUCCCGAGUCAACUCCACCGGCCGCAGCCCGCAGCUGUGGGGCUCUGCGCCUCUGCUCGCCGCGGCAGCUGACGGAGGCAAGCCAACGUACCCGCCCGUCGCUCGAUCCAGCCAGCGAUCCCGGCGCCGGCAGCGAGACACGAGAGGAGAAAUGGAGGCACCGCACCCGCAGGGCGAGGCCGCGGCGGGAUGGGUGACGGUCGAGGAGUGGAGGGGCUCGUCCGCCUCCAUGCUCUCCCGUACCGCCGUGCUCACUGCCUCCGCCUCCUCUCUGACCUCCCGCAGGUUCGGCAGCCGGUGGGGGCGGAUCGGCAGCCGCAUGCUGGGCGCCUUCGUGCCCGAGGGGUUUCCUGGGAGCGUGACUCCGGAUUAUGUCCCGUUCCAGACGUGGGAUACGUUGCAGGGGCUCUCCACGUACAUCCGUGCAAUGUUGUCUACACAAGCUCUUUUAGGUGCAAUUGGAGUGGGAGAACAAUCCGCUACUGUCAUAGGUGCUACUUUCCAGUGGUUUCUAAGGGAUUUGACAGGAAUGCUUGGAGGGAUAUUGUUCACCUUUUAUCAGGGAUCUAAUCUUGAUAGCAAUGCAAAGAUGUGGCGCCUAGUUGCAGACUUUAUGAACGACCUUGGAAUGUUGAUGGAUCUCUUAAGCCCUUUGUUCCCUUCAUCAUUGAUAGUUAUCAUGUGCUUAGGCAGCCUAUCUAGGUCAUUCACUGGUGUUGCUAGUGGAGCAACUAGAGCGGCACUAACACAGCAUUUUGCACUUGCAAAUAAUGCAGCCGAUAUUUCUGCAAAGGAAGGCAGUCAGGAGACACUUGCUACAAUGACAGGGAUGGGAUUGGGUAUGCUUUUGGCUCACAUUACCAGAGGGCAUGCUUUGAGUGUAUGGGUAUCAUUCCUUUCUCUCACAGUGUUCCACAUGUAUGCAAACUACAAGGCAGUGCAGUCACUUUCACUCACUACGCUUAACAGCGAGAGAGCUUCCAUCCUGCUUCAGUACUUCAAGGAAUGCAGUGAAGUUCUUGCACCGAAGCAGGUUUCUCAGCAGGAACAUAUUCUUCCUUUUUGGUCAAGCUGGAGGAAGUUAAUUAGAAUUAAACUACCACAUGAGCAUGUGCACUUAGGUGCUAAAGCCUCGAUGCUUACACACACUGACAUGUUGGAGAUUGCAAAAACAAGAUCCCACUAUGAAAACUACGUUUCUUUUUGCCAUCUGAGCAGCCAACUACCUAUUGCUGGAUAAGGAAGGCAGUGUUCACAUUUUCAUCCACAAGCAGGCAACCCCAGCUGAUGUUUUGAAGUCCUUCAUACAUGGGCUCGUGCUAACAAAUUUGUCGCAGAAUGGCAAAUCUCAGCACGCUGAGGCUCGUCGAUGGAUGGACGACAAAUAUACCACUUUUAUCUCCAAGCUGCAGGUAAAGGGUUACUCAACAGAACGCCUUCUGUCGCAUUCGAUUGUUUGGAGGGCACACUGGCUUCACGGCCAACUGGAUGAAAAGCUCGAGUAGGAGGAACGCAGCUAUCAGGCAUAUCGGCAUAUCACCCAAGUCUCGGCAAACUUGGGUGACAGCGUGGUAACAUGAUGAAAGACGGAUGGGUUUCAUUAAGACCAGUAAAUCUCGUUCUCUUUCGAGACUGUAGAAGGUCUGCACUGCCAAGUGCUGGCCUGUAUCAUCAGUUCAGCAUGCUACGCUCUAUGAUUCACAUUAGGUACAGCCUUACAGGAAAUACCCAAAACAACAUUAAACACUACCAUUGUGUUUGCUUAGUACUGGAUCACUUUAGUCUUUCUUAUGCAAUCCUACAACUUAAUGUGCUGG